Molecule: long non-coding RNA, 451 nt
Organism: Mobula hypostoma (lesser devil ray)
Lineage: Eukaryota; Metazoa; Chordata; Chondrichthyes; Myliobatiformes; Myliobatidae
Exons: 3
Source: RefSeq, a predicted model, not a curated record
CGGAAGCUGAAGGGCCCCACUUUACCCAAGUCACUCCCAAAGGAAAUAACAGUUUCAGCUCCCUGCGGGCUGAGUCUUGAGUCUGCCAUCCUCUGCAACUGCAUUGAGUCGGUGCCAGUGACCACCAUGACACAAAGAGUCUGCCAUUCCACUGCACUUGGAUCCAGUCCAGCAAGCAUGCACCCUGACAGAAAAAACAUCUUACCUUGGCCCUUUUCAACUCACGGGAAUGAACAAUGACAUUCCCAUCAUCAGAUGCUGUCUGGCCUGCUGAGUUCCUCAAGCAUUUUAGGUGUGUUGCUUGGAUUUCCAGCAUCUGAAGAUUUUCUCUUUUUUGUGACACCCAUGGAUGUCGGUCUGUCCCGGGUCAGUGGUUCAUGGGAUCAGAUCACCGUGCAAGCAGUUGGCACAAGAAUUCCUGUGAGCCAGUGAGUCAACGUCCAGAGUUUAG